ACAAGAAAAACAGUGUUUGGGGAGAUAACUCUUAUAUGGGAAAGUAUUUAGUUAAGCAGAGUUGGUUUCAAAAAGCGUAUUACCUGUUUGAUAUCAUAUUCCAAAUAUCAAAGCGACAUCUUGCGAAAACAAAAAACAGCGAAGGAAAAAAAUUAGGCGGAAGAAAAAAAAAAAAUAAUAAUCAGAAGAAAUCCAAUAGGUCUUUCCACGGAAAAGUGGAAAGACCUAAUUA
Molecule: long non-coding RNA, 232 nt
Filed under: Mytilus galloprovincialis (Mediterranean mussel)
Lineage: Eukaryota; Metazoa; Mollusca; Bivalvia; Mytilida; Mytilidae
Source: RNAcentral